GCCGCCUUAGCUCAGUUGGUAGAGCAUCGCAUUCGUAAUGCGGGGGUCACAGGUUCGAGUCCUGUAGGCGGCACCA
This 76-nucleotide transfer RNA is filed under the name Erythrobacter sp. Its description in RNAcentral is "tRNA-Thr". It matches the Rfam family "tRNA". From Rfam's summary of the family: Transfer RNA (tRNA) molecules are approximately 80 nucleotides in length. Their secondary structure includes four short double-helical elements and three loops (D, anti-codon, and T loops). The record is from RNAcentral. RNAcentral also lists the same sequence under 35 other names. Lineage: Bacteria; Pseudomonadati; Pseudomonadota; Alphaproteobacteria; Sphingomonadales; Erythrobacteraceae.